CUCUCUUCGCUGUUGAGACCAAAAGUUUGUAUGAUUGCCGAGAGUUUGUUUUAAGACUGUACUUUUAUCAGAGGGGAACUGUAAUGUGAGAACGCGAUCCGGGAGGGUAUACGGGAUGUUUUAAAAUAUAUAUCCGCCCAGCGCUGAUGGCAGUUUAUGUGGAUUCUGGUUUGAAUCUACGAACUACGAAGCAGGAUCUAUGAAACAUUCUACGAUGGCUUCCGCCCGUCUCUGAACAUCAGCCUUCGCUAUUUAAACUUGGAACAGGGCAGUACGGCAGCUCAAUGCAUAUUCCUUGACGUCUUGCUCUGUAUUACGUAAAUGCUGAUCGAGUUUGUGUUUUUAAACAUUUCGAUUCCGUUAAUUUAACUAAAAGUAAUUUAUGUCUGGCAUUUCUGCAUAUUGCUGUUAGAUUUAAAGGCUGAUUCUAAUCUUACUUCGAAAUUCCUAUAUGUUAAAUUAAAAAGAAAAAACAAAGGAUUUUACUCAUAGCCAAGGAUCAACUGAAUUAUGGCUGAAAGAUACGAAAAAGCACACAGCUGUCAAUAUCAAACGUUAACGCCACAUUUAUAAC
Long non-coding RNA from Paramormyrops kingsleyae, 574 nucleotides. RefSeq lists it as uncharacterized. Lineage: Eukaryota; Metazoa; Chordata; Actinopteri; Osteoglossiformes; Mormyridae. The record is from RefSeq and is a predicted model, not a curated record.